This 22-nucleotide microRNA is filed under the name Mus musculus (house mouse). RNAcentral's name for it is "microRNA miR-L-24". The record is from RNAcentral. Lineage: Eukaryota; Metazoa; Chordata; Mammalia; Rodentia; Muridae.
UAAAGUGCUGACAGCUCAGAUA